UCCUCCCUCAAACCUCCGGGUUUGGUGUUGGGCAUGCGUCGGUCGUCAUCGACCGACGGGCCCCAAAGACAAUGACGGCGUCCGUGGGACCCUCGGUGCAACGAGCUUUUCGGAGCACGCGUCGAGUUUCAAGGACCUUCCGGGCCGGUCUAACCCCCCUUUUUAUCACAA
RNAcentral lists this unclassified non-coding RNA (171 nucleotides) under uncultured Knufia. Its description in RNAcentral is "sequence contains ITS2". Lineage: Eukaryota; Fungi; Ascomycota; Eurotiomycetes; Chaetothyriales; Chaetothyriaceae. The record is from RNAcentral.